RNAcentral lists this ribosomal RNA (495 nucleotides) under uncultured bacterium. RNAcentral's name for it is "partial 16S ribosomal RNA". It matches the Rfam family "Bacterial small subunit ribosomal RNA", at positions 28 to 507 of the family's 1533-position model. The record is from RNAcentral.
GACGAACGCUGGCGGCGUGCCUAAUACAUGCAAGUAGAACGCUGAAGGAGGAGCUUGCUCUUCUGGAUGAGUUGCGAACGGGUGAGUAACGCGUAGGUAACCUGCCUGGUAGCGGGGGAUAACUAUUGGAAACGAUAGCUAAUGCCGCAUAAUAGUAGAUGUUGCAUGAUAUUUACUUAAAAGGUGCAAUUGCACCACUACCAGAUGGACCUGCGUUGUAUUAGCUAGUUGGUGGGGUAACGGCUCACCAAGGCGACGAUACAUAGCCGACCUGAGAGGGUGAUCGGCCACACUGGGACUGAGACACGGCCCAGACUCCUACGGGAGGCAGCAGUAGGGAAUCUUCGGCAAUGGACGAAAGUCUGACCGAGCAACGCCGCGUGAGUGAAGAAGGUUUUCGGAUCGUAAAGCUCUGUUGUAAGAGAAGAACGAGUGUGAGAGUGGAAAGUUCACACUGUGACGGUAUCUGACCAGAAAGGGACGGCUAACUACGUG